GCCAGUGUGGCAUAGUGGUUUUAGUGUUGGACUAUAACACUAGAGACCAGGGUUCGAUUCCCAACUUGCU
RNAcentral lists this transfer RNA (70 nucleotides) under Phrynosoma platyrhinos (Desert horned lizard). RNAcentral describes it as "tRNA-OTHER". The record is from RNAcentral. Lineage: Eukaryota; Metazoa; Chordata; Lepidosauria; Squamata; Phrynosomatidae.